UUGGAAAUGGGGGCACCCUGAUCCAGCGACGCCGCGUGUGUGAAGAAGGCCUGCGGGUUGUAAAGCACUUUUAGUGGGGAUGAAAAGCUCAGGGUUAAUACCUCUGGGUCUUGACCUAACCCACAGAAAAAGCACCGGCUAACUCUGUGCCAGCAGCCGCGGUAAUACAGAGGGUGCAAGCGUUAAUCGGAAUUACUGGGCGUAAAGCGUACGUAGACGGUUAGGUAAGUCGGAUGUGAAAGCCCCGGGCUCAACCUGGGAAUUGCAUUCGAGACUGCGUAGCUAGGGUGCGGAAGAGGGAAGCGGAAUUCCAGGUGUAGCGGUGAAAUGCGUAGAUAUCUGGAGGAACACCAGUGGCGAAAGCGGCUUCCUGGUCCAGCACCGACGUUCAGGUACGAAAGCAUGGGGAGCAAACAGGAUUAGAUACCCUGGUAGUCCAUGCCAUAAACGAUGAGAACUAGACGUUGAGAGGGUAAGCCUCCCAGUGUCGUAGCUAACGCGCUAAGUUCUCCGCCUGGGGAGUACGGCCGCAAGGUUGAAACUCAAAAAAAUUGACGGA
This 559-nucleotide ribosomal RNA is filed under the name uncultured bacterium. Its description in RNAcentral is "bacterial SSU rRNA". It matches the Rfam family "Bacterial small subunit ribosomal RNA", at positions 364 to 917 of the family's 1533-position model. The record is from RNAcentral.